Hemicordylus capensis (graceful crag lizard) is the source of this 1006-nucleotide long non-coding RNA. RefSeq lists it as uncharacterized. The transcript is spliced from 3 exons. The record is from RefSeq and is a predicted model, not a curated record. Lineage: Eukaryota; Metazoa; Chordata; Lepidosauria; Squamata; Cordylidae.
UUAACGGAGUGAGCGCUCCGUUAACCUCGUCUUUCUAAUCGUGUAUUGCUGUGCCGCAGCUCCACGCCAUGGCAACACAUGAGGAGACCCCCCCGCAGGAGACUGAAACAAGCCUCCCGGCCCUGAGGGUCUCUCCAGGAUGCCCCACAUGCUUGUGCCAUUGCCGACACACUCAGGGGGGAGGAAGGGGGAGGGAGUAUCCCCGAAAUGCACCACACAUUCACGUGGUGUAUUACUGAGGUUCUGGGAGGUGGGGCAUCAUGUGGCGGCGCUUCCCUGCGCCUGACCCCCAGAGCUGCUGGGCGAGGCAAGGCAAAGCACAGGAAGACUGCAGGACAGCCUCCACCCAGCAACGUCUUUCUGAUUGCCUGUGGGGAGUUCAUAUAGCUCACCUGGCUGGGAAGAGUGUAAACAUGGUGCAAGUGCAACACAUGCAUAUACCCUGCAUUCCCUGAAAGCAACAUGAUGUGAGAUGAUCCUUCUUCCUCAAAAAGAUACAUUCCAGCCAAGCUUAUAUUUCCACUACUUUGCAAGUACCCUGACCGCCCGAACCAUGUCUACACUAGCUUGCUGCUCUCGGAUGAGGAUCCAGCCUUCAUGUUUAACGCUGCCAAGUUCUGCGUGGCAGUUUGUAGGAAUUGCCGGGCUAUGACAACCAGGCCAUUCCCUUGCAUCGUCUCUGCAUAGUUUUAAACCAAUGACUUUUUUAGUUUUCCUAUGUAGAUGCCUUAUUUUAUACACCCUGUUUUAGCCACCACUUUUUGCAUUUUAUAUAUUUUGCAUUUUAUAUGUUCAUAAUUUUCUAAAUACAGCUGUUUAAUAAUCUCAUAGUUACCCUAUCUUCUAAGGAUAGCAGCUUUAUAAUAUUAUAAUAUAGCUUAUAGAGUAGUAACUUUAAAGUAAUAUUGUUUUAUGGUUCCAUAAUUUGUCUUUACUAUUUUGAAACAUGCUCUACUCUUCUAUUUUAUGCUGGUCUUGGACCGUAAUAAAGUUGAUUGAAGGUGAA